GGCGAACGGGUGAGUAACACGUGGGUGAUCUGCCCUGCACUUCGGGAUAAGCCUGGGAAACUGGGUCUAAUACCGGAUAGGACGACAUUUUGGAUGGUGUGGUGGAAAGUUUUUCGGUGUGGGAUGAGCUCGCGGCCUAUCAGCUUGUUGGUGGGGUAAUGGCCUACCAAGGCGACGACGGGUAGCCGGCCUGAGAGGGUGGACGGCCACAUUGGGACUGAGAUACGGCCCAG
RNAcentral lists this ribosomal RNA (233 nucleotides) under uncultured Actinomycetales bacterium. RNAcentral's name for it is "partial 16S ribosomal RNA". It matches the Rfam family "Bacterial small subunit ribosomal RNA", at positions 97 to 334 of the family's 1533-position model. The record is from RNAcentral. Lineage: Bacteria; Bacillati; Actinomycetota; Actinomycetes; Actinomycetales.